Molecule: ribosomal RNA, 253 nt
Filed under: uncultured bacterium
Lineage: Bacteria
Description: partial 16S ribosomal RNA
Rfam family: Bacterial small subunit ribosomal RNA
Source: RNAcentral
UACGAAGGGGGCUAGCGUUGCUCGGAAUCACUGGGCGUAAAGGGCGCGUAGGCGGGCUCUUAAGUCAGGGGUGAAAGCCCAAGGCUCAACCUUGGAAUUGCCUUUGAUACUGAGGGCCUUGAGACCGGAAGAGGUCGGCGGAACUGCGAGUGUAGAGGUGAAAUUCGUAGAUAUUCGCAAGAACACCAGUGGCGAAGGCGGCCGACUGGUCCGGUUCUGACGCUGAGGAGCGAAAGCCAGGGGAGCAAACGGG